This 164-nucleotide ribosomal RNA is filed under the name Cardamine x insueta. RNAcentral's name for it is "5.8S ribosomal RNA". It matches the Rfam family "5.8S ribosomal RNA". From Rfam's summary of the family: 5.8S ribosomal RNA (5.8S rRNA) is a component of the large subunit of the eukaryotic ribosome. It is transcribed by RNA polymerase I as part of the 45S precursor that also contains 18S and 28S rRNA. Lineage: Eukaryota; Viridiplantae; Streptophyta; Magnoliopsida; Brassicales; Brassicaceae. The record is from RNAcentral.
AAAACGGCUCUCGGCAACGGAUAUCUCGGCUCUCGCAUCGAUGAAGAACGUAGCGAAAUGCGAUACUUGGUGUGAAUUGCAGAAUCCCGUGAACCAUCGAGUCUUUGAACGCAAGUUGCGCCCCAAGCCUUCUGGCCGAGGGCACGUCUGCCUGGGUGUCACAA